Fopius arisanus is the source of this 264-nucleotide long non-coding RNA. RefSeq lists it as uncharacterized. NCBI's taxonomy places the organism in Eukaryota, Metazoa, Arthropoda, Insecta, Hymenoptera, Braconidae. The record is from RefSeq and is a predicted model, not a curated record. The transcript has 3 exons.
CUGGAGCCCGGUGAAUCGUCUCCAGGUACCCAUGGAUUUCAUUAUUAAAUUCAUGGCGUACCUGGCCGAUCAUUUCUUCGCCAACAAGGAAUGGCAGCUCCACCAGGAGAUGAGGAAGUUCCUUAACUUUUUGCUCCUGAAGGGUCGUGAGAUUGAGGCACUGGAGAUGGUGCCUCACGCGCAGGGCAUCGCGGCAACCGCCGUGAUGAUUCUGGACGCACAAAAUCAUUACGAUAUCUGAAGUGCAUCAUCUCCAGGACAUCC